RNAcentral lists this ribosomal RNA (1363 nucleotides) under uncultured bacterium. RNAcentral's name for it is "partial 16S ribosomal RNA". It matches the Rfam family "Bacterial small subunit ribosomal RNA", at positions 28 to 1387 of the family's 1533-position model. The record is from RNAcentral.
GACGAACGCUGGCGGCGUGCUUAACACAUGCAAGUCGAACGGAGCUGUUUUGAUUGAUUUCUCCGCAAUGUGUUAGAUUUGCUUAGGGGCGGAAUGGGGAACUACCCGGGAAGAACCCUCCUUUCAGAGGGGGAAUACCGUUCGAAACAACUGGUAAUACCCCAUGAACCUUUUUGAUCCCGUGGACUGAGAGCCAAAAAUUUUUCUCUGAAGAAUAGCCUCUCGCCUGAUAUUCUUUUUGGGGGGAGGUCGCCCCUCCCCAGCAACGAUAUCUGUCCCGAGAGAGAGGUUGACCGCCCCCAUUGUGACAGAGAUACACCCCCCACACCCCCAGGAGGCGCAGGUGGGGAAUAAUAGUGCGCUGGGCGCACACCCCACCACAGCAACAGCGCCGUGAAGAAAGAAGAGCUGUUCUCGUAUUGUACUUCUUUUUUUAUGAGAAGAGUAGAAUACGGUACCUAUUGAAUAAGCUCCGGCUAACUACGUGCCAGCAGCCGCGGUAAUACGUAGGGAGCAAGCGUUGUCCGGAUUUACUGGGUGUAAAGGGUGUGUAGCCGGGCAUGCAAGUCAGAUGUGAAAUCUCUGGGCUCAACCCAUAAGCUGCAUUUGAAACUGUAGAUCUUGAGUGCAGUAGAGGCAGUCGGAAUUCCCUGUGUAGCGGUGAAAUGCGUAGAGAUGGGGAGGAACACCAGUGGCGAAGGCGGCUUGCUGGGCGGUAACUGACGGUGAGGCGCGAAAGCGUGGGUAGCGAACAGGAUUAGAUACCCUGGUAGUCCACGCUGUAAACGAUGAUUACUAGGUGUGCGGGGUCUGACCCCCUCCGUGCCGCAGUUAACACAAUAAGUAUUCCACCUGGGGAGUACGAUCGCAAGGUUGAAACUCAAAGGAAUUGACGGGGGCCCGCACAAGCAGUGGAGUAUGUGGUUUAAUUCGAAGCAACGCGAAGAACCUUACCAGGUCUUGACAUCCAACUAACGAAGUAGAGAUACAUUAGGUGCCCUUCGGGGAAAGCAGAGACAGGUGGUGCAUGGUUGUCGUCAGCUCGUGUCGUGAGAUGUUGGGUUAAGUCCCGCAACGAGCGCAACCCUUAUUAUUAGUUGCUACGCAAGAGCACUCUAAUGAGACUGCCGUUGACAAAACGGAGGAAGGUGGGGACGACGUCAAAUCAUCAUGCCCCUUAUGACCUGGGCUACACACGUAAUACAAUGGAGUCAACAAAGGGAAGCAAAACAGCGAGGCAGAGCGAACCCCAUAAAAACAUUCUCAGUUCGGAUUGCAGGCUGCAACCCGCCUGCAUGAAGUUGGAAUUGCUAGUAAUCGUGGAUCAGCAUACCGCGGUGAAUACGUUCCCGGGCCUUGCACA